GAAUUCAACUCCUACGGGAGGCAGCAGUGGGGAAUAUUGGACAAUGGGCGGAAGCCUGAUCCAGCAACGCCGCGUGAGGGAUGACGGCCUUCGGGUUGUAAACCUCUUUCACCUCCGACGAAGCGAAAGUGACGGUAGGGGGAGAAGAAGCACCGGCCAACUACGUGCCAGCAGCCGCGGUAAUACGUAGGGUGCGAGCGUUGUCCGGAAUUAUUGGGCGUAAAGGGCUCGUAGGCGGUUUGCCGCGUCGGGAGUGAAAAUACCGGGCUUAACUCGGUGCUGGCUUCCGAUACGGGCAGACUAGAGGUAUUCAGGGGAGAACGGAAUUCCUGGUGUAGCGGUGAAAUGCGCAGAUAUCAGGAGGAACACCGGUGGCGAAGGCGGUUCUCUGGGAAUUACCUGACGCUGAGGAGCAAAAGUGUGGGGAGCGAACAGGAUUAGAUACCCUAGUAGUCCAGGCGUU
This 463-nucleotide ribosomal RNA is filed under the name uncultured bacterium. RNAcentral's name for it is "bacterial SSU rRNA". It matches the Rfam family "Bacterial small subunit ribosomal RNA", at positions 328 to 803 of the family's 1533-position model. The record is from RNAcentral.